GACGAACGCUGGCGGCGUGCUUAACACAUGCAAGUCGAACGAUGAACCGGAGCUUGCUCUGGGGAUUAGUGGCGAACGGGUGAGUAACACGUGGGCAACCUGCCCCAGACACCGGGAUAACCAUUCUAAAGGAUGGCUAAUACCGGAUACGACCACUUCGGGCAUCCGAUGGUGGUGGAAAGGAUUCUGGUCUGGGAUGGGCCCGCGGCCUAUCAGCUUGUUGGUGGGGUAAUGGCCUACCAAGGCGACGACGGGUAGCCGGCCUGAGAGGGCGACCGGACACACUGGGACUGAGACACGGUCCAGACUCCUACGGGAGGCAGCAGUGGGGAAUAUUGCGCAAUGGGCGAAAGCCUGACGCAGCGACGCCGCGUGAGGGACGGAGGUCUUCGGAUUGUAAACCUCUUUCAGCAGGGAUGAAGCGAAAGUGACAGUACCUGCAGAAGAAGCACCGGCUAACUACGUGCCAGCAGCCGCCGUAA
Molecule: ribosomal RNA, 482 nt
Filed under: uncultured bacterium
Lineage: Bacteria
Description: partial 16S ribosomal RNA
Rfam family: Bacterial small subunit ribosomal RNA
Source: RNAcentral